RNAcentral lists this ribosomal RNA (497 nucleotides) under uncultured bacterium. RNAcentral's name for it is "partial 16S ribosomal RNA". It matches the Rfam family "Bacterial small subunit ribosomal RNA", at positions 28 to 507 of the family's 1533-position model. The record is from RNAcentral.
GAUGAACGCUGGCGGCGUGCCUAAUACAUGCAAGUCGAGCGAACAGACGAGGAGCUUGCUCCUCUGACGUUAGCGGCGGACGGGUGAGUAACACGUGGAUAACCUACCGAUAGGACUGGGAUAACUUCGGGAAACCGGAGCUAAUACCGGAUAAUAUAUUGAACCGCAUGGUUCAAUAGUGAAAGACGGUUUUGCUGUCACUUAUAGAUGGAUCCGCGCCGCAUUAGCUAGUUGGUAAGGUAACGGCUUACCAAGGCAACGAUGCGUAGCCGACCUGAGAGGGUGAUCGGCCACACUGGAACUGAGACACGGUCCAGACUCCUACGGGAGGCAGCAGUAGGGAAUCUUCCGCAAUGGGCGAAAGCUUGACGGAGCAACGCCGCGUGAGUGAUGAAGGUCUUCGGAUCGUAAAACUCUGUUAUUAGGGAAGAACAAAUGUGUAAGUAACUAUGCACGUCUUGACGGUACCUAAUCAGAAAGCCACGGCUAACUACGUG